CCUGGGGCCUUGUAAGAGAUGCAAAUGAUGGUCUCACCCCAGACCUGCUGAAUCCGAAACUCGGAGGUGGGGCCUAGCGAUUCGUGUUUUAAGCUCUCCAGGCGAUUCUGAUGCUCACUAAUGUUGAACCUUCUCGUAAGUCUGCAGUUUACUUUUCACUUCCCUACCUGACAGCGCAUCCUGCAUUCUUUCCUGCACGGAGCAUCUGCACUGAACUGAGGGAUGAGGGUGAGAGAGCUCCAGAGCACCACCCCACUGUGCCUCAUUCAGGAAGUGCUGUGAUCAAGAAACCACUACUGCUGCUGGUGCCAGGACUGUGAUUCCCAUCAACAGCACUGAUGGCCUGCACCUCACCUCUGACACCCAUGGGACUCUUGUAUGUGGACACCAGAAAGUCUGCUAAUUCUGGAACAAAAACCUGAAAUGUCUCCAUGAGAUGGACUGCUGAAAGAAAUAGAAAACCACAGAGGUGAGGCCUCCACCGUACUUCCAAAUGCUGUAUUGCACAUGGAAUGCAUUUGAUUUGUCAGAUCAAUCACUUUCAGAAUCCAAGCUGCAAAGGAGUUUUGGAAACACAGACCAGAGUUUUCCAGCCUCUGUCAGACGAGAAGGCUAAAAAAGAUUGGAAUGGAUGAUGGGCAUUCAUAUUCACAUAAAUUCGACUUCUAUAUAUGUGAUGAUGUCUUCUUUCUUUUUUAAGAUUUAUUUUAUUUUCUUGUAGAGACAAGAUCUUGCUUUGUUGUCCAGGCUGUACCACAGUGGGGGGAUCAUGGCUCACUGUAGCCCCAAACACCUGGACCCAGGCAGUUUUCUCCUCUCAGCCUCCUGAGUAGCUAGAAUUACAGGCACAUACCACCAUGUCCAGCCAAUUUUUUUUUUUGGUGGAGAUGGGGUCUUGCUAUGUUGCCCAGGCUGGUCUUGAACUCCUGGGUUCAAGCAAUCCUCCUGCCUCAGCCUCCCAAAGCACUAGGACUACAGGCAUGAACCACCAUGCCCAACCUCUUUUUUCUUGAUUCUGACAAGUCAGUACAUCACUCUGUUACCAUCAAUCUCCCUCAACUUGAUCAAACCAUGAAAGCACCAAUUUUAUAUUCUCCGAAGUAUACCUAAAUUGUGCCAUCUUAGAUUUGAAAUAGUCAUUUUUAUUAUUAGAUUGGUGCCUUAACACAUGUUUUUCUUUUGAGCCAGGAAACUCUUCAAAUAAAAUCCCCCUUGGAAAUAUUACAUACAAGUAAAGAAAUACACAAAUCACUGCUCUUGUUGGAGUGGGGGUCAGGUCUUGUGGCAGAAAUCAUUUGUACUUGCUGCGGAUCCCAGGUGCUUCCUGAGGUUUCCUGGGAUCCUUGGAAGUUAGACAGGGGCCAUGUGAUUGCAUUCUGGCCAGUGGAGACUGCCACCUCCAAGCUGGCCCUAAAAUCCUCCAUGGACCCUCCAUUUCUGCUUUCUUAUUGCAGCAACAGCAGUCUUUAAUAUAUAGUGGCGUCAUACAAUGGUGGCAGAUGGGUUUACCAGAUGAAAGAGAAGGCUUUUUGGUCUGCACUGGUGUUUGUGGAGCAAGAAAUAGCAUUUGUGGUGUGAAGCCACUGAGAUCAUAUGUGAUCCCCACAUAGCCUAUUUCUCUUGCUAAUAUGAGCCUAGAGGUCCUGCCCAGUCACCAUCUCCCAUAUCACAAACUCCAGCCUCUCUCUGCUUUGAUUUUUUUCCCCUACUUUCUACACACCUCCUAAGGCAACUCCGGACAACUAUUUCUAGGGAAGAGUUUGUAAACCGUUGUGUUAGCCUUCUAAAAUACCCUCUCUUCUGGUUUUG
This 1809-nucleotide long non-coding RNA is filed under the name Homo sapiens (human). Its description in RNAcentral is "HSALNT0160325". The record is from RNAcentral. Lineage: Eukaryota; Metazoa; Chordata; Mammalia; Primates; Hominidae.